CCACGUGCUAAAUCAGAGGGGCCAGGAAGGAAAUUCACAUCUUGAAUUCCAUUCCACUCAAUCACAUCAACCUGUAAAUUCAGAGGAAGGAAAAAAAGGAAAGGAAACAUUCUUUUCAAAAGGACUUUUGAAAAAGGGGUGUUGUCUCCAGCGGAUCGAGGGGCAUUGGCUCCUGCUUUCCUCUCCAGCGGCAGGUGUGGACAGCAGGGUGCAUUCUGAGCACAGAGGCUGAGCCAGCCUGACGUUCCCCACAGGCAGCCAGCGGGAGGGCCACGUGCUUUUCCUGUCAAAGCCCCACUCCGCCUGUGCUGGCUGGUGAUAGAGAGGCACAUCAGUCCUCUUUUCAGAAGCAAGGCCUUGUGUUUGUUUUGCGUCUUAUUUUAUGGACUGGGUCUUCAAAGACAACAUUUAAUAAUAAAGAUUACAGAGGUGACCUACCCGUGUUCCCGA
Molecule: long non-coding RNA, 450 nt
Organism: Choloepus didactylus (southern two-toed sloth)
Lineage: Eukaryota; Metazoa; Chordata; Mammalia; Pilosa; Megalonychidae
Exons: 2
Source: RefSeq, a predicted model, not a curated record